AAUGGGCGCAAGCCUGAUGCAGCGACGCCGCGUGAGGGAUGACGGCCUUCGGGUUGUAAACCUCUUUCGCCAGGGACGAAGCGCAAGUGACGGUACCUGGUAAAGAAGCACCGGCCAACUACGUGCCAGCAGCCGCGGUAAUACGUAGGGUGCGAGCGUUGUCCGGAAUUACUGGGCGUAAAGAGCUCGUAGGCGGUUUGUCACGUCGUCUGUGAAAUCCUGCAACUCAAUUGUAGGCGUGCAGGCGAUACGGGCAGACUUGAGUACUACAGGGGAGACUGGAAUUCCUGGUGUAGCGGUGAAAUGCGCAGAUAUCAGGAGGAACACCGGUGGCGAAGGCGGGUCUCUGGGUAGUAACUGACGCUGAGGAGCGAAAGCGUGGGGAGCAAA
Molecule: ribosomal RNA, 390 nt
Filed under: uncultured bacterium
Lineage: Bacteria
Description: bacterial SSU rRNA
Rfam family: Bacterial small subunit ribosomal RNA
Source: RNAcentral